This 541-nucleotide unclassified non-coding RNA is filed under the name Bombus terrestris (buff-tailed bumblebee). RNAcentral describes it as "misc RNA ENSBTSG00005024968.1". Lineage: Eukaryota; Metazoa; Arthropoda; Insecta; Hymenoptera; Apidae. The record is from RNAcentral.
GAACACGACGGAGCACCUCAAAACGGGACAAUUUCAACGUAGAAGUAUGUAAAUGUUAUUACACGCGGUCGAGGAAAUGUUUGACUUCGCGACGACGACCACGACAACGACAAUGUUGGAUUCGCGUGGACGGUGAAACAUGGAACACGAGGAAUUUUUGCCGCCGUUCUACCCGAAAAGGAAAGUCUUCUAUUGUUUAAGAAAGAAAAAUUUCUAGGAAGAUCGCGGCAAUCCUCGUGUAUCUUUCGGUCGGCUGAAAAAUGUGCUCGUCCGUGGACGCGUACGGAACACAACAACGUACCACCAAAUAUUAAUCACCGCGACGAAGGGGGCAAAAAGGGACGCAGGGUUGCGAAGUAGACGCUAAAGCUGCUCCACAGAAUUCCGACCGACUGAGGUUAGAUACAUUGAACGCAACAUGCCGCAAACAUUUAUAUACGGGGGGCUGCACAUACACCAGCCCUCGUGUACGCAAGUGUGCCGAGACUAUGGGAGCGAGACAGGGUGGAGUAAGUAGGGGUAGCAACAACAGAGAGAGAAA